RNAcentral lists this long non-coding RNA (326 nucleotides) under Linum usitatissimum (flax). RNAcentral describes it as "long non-coding RNA (LUSI_LNC001083)". Lineage: Eukaryota; Viridiplantae; Streptophyta; Magnoliopsida; Malpighiales; Linaceae. The record is from RNAcentral.
UAUACCAUUUCCACCAUCCUGUUCAAAUGAAUUCUCUCGUUUAGCUAGAAGCAAUGGAUGCUGUAUGCCUUCAAUAUCAACAAACAACUGAUCGUAUAUGUCACCUAAAUAGCCAGCUGAGCACGUUUCUGAUGUAAUAAUUGGGCACACCCCAUUCAUCCACUGUGAAUACCCAGCUCUAGCAAAAGCAAGAUCAAUUGCCAAAAUACAAUCCAACAAAUAUUUGAUUCCCCUUUCUGAUUCCGCUAUCUCCGCAGUAAGCAUGCUCAAAAUGGCCAUUUCCUCUUCUUUCUCAGAGUUAGAAAGCGUGACUUCCAAGUUAUUCA